AAGGCUAGGAGGAAAGACCCCACUGAAGAGAGAAAGAGAAAACCUGUGUCUACACUUAGGUGUAGUCACUGCCAUGAAUUGGGGCACAACAAAAGGUCCUGCCAAUACAAUCCAAACAAUGCAGGAAGACCCAAAAAAAAGAGAAGAACAAUCCCAACCAUGGAAAGCCAGUCAGCUAAAAGUCAGUUUGGUUCAUCUUCUUCCUCACAGCAUCCAGAGUCACAGAUACAAUGAAACUGGGGAUUUCCCUUAUGUAAAUUUUUUGGAUAAUUGCUCAAUUGCUCAGUUAUAAAUUUUUUGGAUAAUUUUUUGGUUCAUCUUCUUCCUCACAGCAUGUAAAUUUUUUCUAUAGCUCAGUGAAAUGUUCUCUGCAUGUAAAUUCUUUGGAUAGCUCAGUGAAAUGUUCACUGUAAGUAUUCUGUGUAUUCUGUGUUAAUUUAUAAAUUAGUGCAUAUGAGGAGUAUUCUGUGUGUG
This is a long non-coding RNA of Mangifera indica (mango), 474 nucleotides long. RefSeq lists it as uncharacterized. Lineage: Eukaryota; Viridiplantae; Streptophyta; Magnoliopsida; Sapindales; Anacardiaceae. The record is from RefSeq and is a predicted model, not a curated record. The transcript is spliced from 2 exons.